Molecule: ribosomal RNA, 467 nt
Filed under: uncultured bacterium
Lineage: Bacteria
Description: partial 16S ribosomal RNA
Rfam family: Bacterial small subunit ribosomal RNA
Source: RNAcentral
GAUGAACGCUGGCGGCGUGCUUAACACAUGCAAGUCGAACGGAAAGGCCCAAGCUUGCUUGGGUACUCGAGUGGCGAACGGGUGAGUAACACGUGGGUGAUCUGCCCUGCACUUCGGGAUAAGCCUGGGAAACUGGGUCUAAUACCGGAUAGGACGAUGGUUUGGAUGCCAUUGUGGAAAGUUUUUUCGGUGUGGGAUGAGCUCGCGGCCUAUCAGCUUGUUGGUGGGGUAAUGGCCUACCAAGGCGUCAACGGGUAGCCGGCCUGAGAGGGUGUACGGCCACAUUGGGACUGAGAUACGGCCCAGACUCCUACGGGAGGCAGCAGUGGGGAAUAUUGCACAAUGGGCGCAAGCCUGAUGCAGCGACGCCGCGUGGGGGAGGACGGCCUUCGGGUUGUAAACUCCUUUCGCUAGGGACGAAGCGUUUUGUGACGGUACCUGGAGAAGAAGCACCGGCUAACUACGUG